Molecule: ribosomal RNA, 1249 nt
Filed under: metagenome
Description: SSU rRNA
Rfam family: Eukaryotic small subunit ribosomal RNA
Source: RNAcentral
GGCCUAUUAGGUCUCGUAAUUGGAAUGAGAACAAUUUAAAUACCUUAACGAGGAACAAUUAGAGGGCAAGUCUGGUGCCAGCAGCCGCGGUAAUUCCAGCUCUGAUAGUAUAUAUUAAAGUUGUUGCAGUUAAAAAGCUCGUAGUUGAAACUUGGGUGCGUAGGGGCGGUCUCUUUUAGAGUACUACCCUGAAACAUCUUUCUUUGGUGUAAACUUUCUAUUUAUUUAGGAAGUGUAAGCCAAACAUUUACUUUGAAAAAAUUAGAGUGUUCAAAGCAGGCCUUUGCUCGAAUAUAUUAGCAUGGAAUAAUAGAAUAGGACGUAUGGUUCUAUUUUGUUGGUUUCUAGGACCGUCGUAAUGAUUAAUAGGGACGGUCGGGGGCAUCAGUAUUCAGUUGUCAGAGGUGAAAUUCUUGGAUUUACUGAAGACUAACUACUGCGAAAGCAUUUGCCAAGGACGUUUUCAUUAAUCAAGAACGAAAGUUAGGGGAUCGAAGACGAUCAGAUACCGUCGUAGUCUUAACCGUAAACUAUGCCGACUAGGGAUCGGAGGGCGUUAUAAUAACCUCUCCGGCACCUUACGAGAAAUCAAAGUUUUUGGGUUCUGGGGGGAGUAUGGUUGCAAGGCUGAAACUUAAAGGAAUUGACGGAAGGGCACCACCAGGAGUGGAGCCUGCGGCUUAAUUUGACCCAACACGGGGAAACUCACCAGGUCCAGACACAAUAAGGAUUGACAGAUUGAGAGCUCUUUCAUGAUUUUGUGGGUGGUGGUGCAUGGCCGUUCUUAGUUGGUGGAGUGAUUUGUCUGCUUAAUUGCGAUAACGAACGAGACCUUAACCUGCUAAAUAGCUGUAACAAUAGAUUAUUGUUUUGACAGCUUCUUAGAGGGACUAUCGAUUUUCAAGUCGAUGGAAGUUUGAGGCAAUAACAGGUCUGUGAUGCCCUUAGACGUUCUGGGCCGCACGCGCGCUACACUGACGGAGCCAGCGAGUCUAACCUGUGCCGAGAGGUAUGGGUAAUCUUGUGAAACUCCGUCGUGCUGGGGAUAGAGCAUAGCAAUUAUUGCUCUUCAACGAGGAAUUCCUAGUAAGCGCAAGUCAUCAGCUUGCGCUGAUUACGUCCCUGCCCUUUGUACACACCGCCCGUCGCUACUACCGAUUGAAUGGCUUAGUGAGGCUUCCGGAUUGAUUAACUGGAGAGGGCAACUUUUCUGGUUGAACGAGAAGCUAGUCAAACUUGGUCAUUUAGA